Long non-coding RNA from Phacochoerus africanus (Common warthog), 1022 nucleotides. RefSeq lists it as uncharacterized. The transcript is spliced from 4 exons. The record is from RefSeq and is a predicted model, not a curated record. Lineage: Eukaryota; Metazoa; Chordata; Mammalia; Artiodactyla; Suidae.
UCUCUCUCUUUUUUUUUUUUUUGAGUCUCAAUCGUGUGGACAUCACUGGGAAUGGAGGGAAAUAACUGACUGUAUGAUCGUUGCUUUUUAAGUUUCAAACUGACAUUCCAGGCGGGCUGUGCCUGAGUGAGCAUCUGUCUUCAGAAUUUCACAGUGGGUUCCUGGGAAGGUGGAAGCCUCUCCCUGAUGGGUGAAGUGAGGAGCAGGAGGGGACCGACACGACAGAGGUGUGCAGCCUCCAGCAUCUCCUCCUUUGUGAACUGGAUCCCCCCAAGGAGACUACGAGAUGAAAACUUCUGAGCCCGGGAGCGAGUGGCCAGCAGGUUGCAGACGUCAGGUGAUGGCCACCAGCCAUCAUGGAACACGCCCCCACAAGACACACAGCAGAGGUGCCACCUGGACCUCCCACCCUGUCAUCUCAAUGCCUUGGACCCCUGGCCAGGAGACGUGGGGAUGGCACCCACCUGGGCACCCAGCUACUCAUUUGCUGUCUCACCAAUGAGGAGAAAGAAGAACACAGCUCUAUAUGAUGGAUCUGUGAAAUGUUCCAUGAAUAUCUCUGCCCAGAGUGCAACAAUGAGGCCACUAAUUGAAUAAUUCCAACAACCCUGUGGCAUCAUGUAAGUAGGCUGUCCAUGUGUAGGGGUGGGUGGCUCUGUGGAAAAGCUUCCUUUGUGAAGGAGGGUGGAUUGGGCUUAAGAUUCUACCAAUUCUAAGAGUCUGUGAUUUGCUUCUUUUUUUACAGCCUGGCUAUAUUUAGAUCAAUAAAUUAUAUUCAAGAUGGACUCACCAAUUAUUUCUUCAAUGAGUUAUUUCAUUCAAAAGUUAUUGAGAGAGGAGUUCCCAUUGUGGCUCAGUGAAUUAAGGACCCAACAUUGUCUCUGUGAGGGAUUGAUCCAUGGCCUUGCUCAGUGGGUUAAGGACCUGGUGUUGCUGCAAGCUGUGGUGCAGGCAUACAGCUGCAGCUGUAUUUCAACCCCUAUCCCAGAAACUUCCAUAUGAGGCAGGUACAGGCAUAAAAA